GGUAUGUACUAGCCUGCCGAUUCCUCCUUCUUGUAGAACCGUAAUGCCAUUAAUUUGGUGUUGCGGGGAAACAGGACUGUUACUUUGAAUAAAUUAGAGUGUUUAAAGCAGGCUAGCGCCUGAAUACAUUAGCAUGGAAUAAUGAAAUAGGACGUUCGAACCUAUUUUGUUGGUUUCUAGGAUUGACGUAAUGAUUAAUGGGGAUAGUUGGGGGCAUUAGUAUUCAAUUGUCAGAGGUGAAAUUCUUGGAUUUAUUGAAGACUGACUACUGCGAAAGCAUUUGCCAAGGAUGUUUUCAUUAAUCAAGAACGAAAGUUAGGGGAUCGAAGACGAUCAGAUACCGUCGUAGUCUUAACCAUAAACUAUGCCGACUAGGGAUCGGAUGAUGUUGAUUUUUUAAUGACUCAUUCGGCGCCUUACG
RNAcentral lists this ribosomal RNA (421 nucleotides) under uncultured Glomeromycotina. Its description in RNAcentral is "SSU rRNA". It matches the Rfam family "Eukaryotic small subunit ribosomal RNA", at positions 670 to 1092 of the family's 1831-position model. Lineage: Eukaryota; Fungi; Glomeromycota. The record is from RNAcentral.